This 207-nucleotide ribosomal RNA is filed under the name uncultured bacterium. Its description in RNAcentral is "partial 16S ribosomal RNA". It matches the Rfam family "Bacterial small subunit ribosomal RNA", at positions 568 to 774 of the family's 1533-position model. The record is from RNAcentral.
CGUGUAGGCGGAUAUAUAAGUCAGAAGUGAAAUCCUAUAGCUUAACUAUAGAACUGCUUUGAAAACUGUUAAUCUAGAAUGUGGGAGAGGUAGAUGGAAUUUCUGGUGUAGGGGUAAAAUCCGUAGAGAUCAGAAGGAAUACCGAUUGCGAAGGCGAUCUACUGGAACAUUAUUGACGCUGAGAUGCGAAAGCGUGGGGAGCAAACA